CGAGUCGGCUGGGCGGCCGCGUCGGUGCCUCUGGCACCGCCGAGGAACGUCCGGACUCCGCAGAGCAGGGUGGUUGUUAACGGCAACCCGGGGUGACCCGCGGGAAAGUGCCACAGAGAACAGACCGCCGCCGGUGCCUCGGUGCCAGGCGGUAAGGGUGAAACGGUGAGGUAAGAGCUCACCAGCGCCCCGGGUGACCGGGGCGGCUCGGUAAACCCCACCCGGAGCAAGGCCAAGCAAGGCCGCGACCGCGAGGUCGCGACCGGCGCAGGGUUCGAGGGCUGCUCGCCUGAUCCUGCGGGUAGGCCGCAUGAGCCUGUCGGCAACGGCAGGCCGAGAUGGAUGGCCGCCACCGGCGACGCAAGUCACCGGCUACAGAAUCCGGCGUACAGGCCGGCUCGUCCG
Molecule: RNase P RNA, 405 nt
Filed under: Actinoplanes regularis
Lineage: Bacteria; Bacillati; Actinomycetota; Actinomycetes; Micromonosporales; Micromonosporaceae
Description: Bacterial RNase P class A
Rfam family: Bacterial RNase P class A
About the family: Ribonuclease P (RNase P) is a ubiquitous endoribonuclease, found in archaea, bacteria and eukarya as well as chloroplasts and mitochondria. Its best characterised activity is the generation of mature 5'-ends of tRNAs by cleaving the 5'-leader elements of precursor-tRNAs.
Source: Rfam by way of RNAcentral